RNAcentral lists this ribosomal RNA (408 nucleotides) under uncultured bacterium. RNAcentral describes it as "partial 16S ribosomal RNA". It matches the Rfam family "Bacterial small subunit ribosomal RNA", at positions 28 to 526 of the family's 1533-position model. The record is from RNAcentral.
GACGAACGCUGGCGGCGUGCCUAAUACAUGCAAGUCGAGCGAAGCGGCGGAUGGGCGAGUAACGCGUGGGGGACCUGCCCUUAAGUCUGGGAUAACAUCUGGAAACAGAUGCUUAUACCGGAUACUGAUGGAGGGGCCUGCGAUUCAUUAGCUAGUUGGUAAGGUAACGGCUUACCAGUGCGAGGAUGCGUAUCCUGUCUGAGAGGUUGUCCGGCCACAUUGGGCCUGAGACACGGCCCAUACUCCUACGGGAUGCAGCAGUAGUGAAUCUUCCACAAUGGACGAAAGUCUGAUGGAGCAACGCCGCGUGAGUGAAGAAGGUUUUCGGAUCGUAAAGCACGGUUGUUGGUGAUGCGGUACUCACAGAAUAAGUAACGGCUAACUACGUGCCAGCAGCCGCGGUAAUUC